UCAUCCAGCCUUAUCACCCUGCAACUCACAACUGGCAACCCACUGAAGCUCAGCAGGUGUGAGCCUGGUCAGUACCUGGAUGGGAGACCUCCUGGGAAAAACUAAGGUUGCUGCUGGAA
Molecule: ribosomal RNA, 119 nt
Organism: Lepisosteus oculatus (spotted gar)
Lineage: Eukaryota; Metazoa; Chordata; Actinopteri; Semionotiformes; Lepisosteidae
Source: Ensembl